Molecule: long non-coding RNA, 225 nt
Filed under: Daucus carota (carrot)
Lineage: Eukaryota; Viridiplantae; Streptophyta; Magnoliopsida; Apiales; Apiaceae
Description: long non-coding RNA (DCAR_LNC000017)
Source: RNAcentral
UUCCUCUUCCAGUUAUCAACAAGGUUUCUGGUAUCCACCACCAGCAGCUUAUUACCAGCCUAUGCCGCAACAUCCCCAGAGGCCUAAUAAACUAGGACUUGGUGCAGUUGUGCCCCUAGUUAUGAUGGCUGCUAAUAUCUUAUUUCAGUAAGACUGUGCCACAGAUGGCGAAUAAUUUAGGGGAUGAUGAUAUUUGUGGUUUGGGCCAUCAUUCUAGUGUUUGGU